Molecule: ribosomal RNA, 234 nt
Filed under: uncultured bacterium
Lineage: Bacteria
Description: partial 16S ribosomal RNA
Rfam family: Bacterial small subunit ribosomal RNA
Source: RNAcentral
UGAGUAACCUGCCCUUAACUCUGGGAUAAGCCUGGGAAACUGGGUCUAAUACCGGAUAUGACUCCUCAUCGCAUGGUGGGGGUGGAAAGCUUUUUUGUGGUUUUGGAUGGACUCGCGGCCUAUCAGCUAGUUGGUGUGGGUAACGGCCCACCAAGGCGACGACGGGUAGCCGGCCUGAGAGGGUGACCGGCCACACUGGGACUGAGACACGGCCCAGACUCCUACGGGAGGCAG